CGUAAGCAACCUGCCUAUCAGAGGGGAACAACAGUUCGAAAUGACUGCUAAUACCGCAUAUGCCUAAGUACCACAUGGUACAAUAGGGAAAGGAGCAAUCCGCUGAUAGAUGGGCUUGCGUCUGAUUAGAUAGUUGGUGGGGUAAAGGCCUACCAAGUCGACGAUCAGUAGCCGGACUGAGAGGUUGAACGGCCACAUUGGGACUGAGAUACGGCCCAGACUCCUACGGGAGGCAGCAGUCGGGAAUAUUGCGCAAUGGAGGAAACUCUGACGCAGUGACGCCGCGUGCAGGAAGAAGGUUUUCGGAUUGUAAACUGCUUUAGACAGGGAAGAAAUAAGACAGUACCUGUAGAAUAAGCUCCGGUUAACUACGUGCCAGCAGCCGCGGUAAUACGUAGGGAGCGAGCGUUAUCCGGAUUUAUUGGGUGUAAAGGGUGCGUAGACGGGAAGAUAAGUUAGUUGUGAAAUCCCUCGGCUUAACUGAGGAACUGCAACUAAAACUGUUUUUCUUGAGUACUGGAGAGGAAAGUGGAAUUCCUAGUGUAGCGGUGAAAUGCGUAGAUAUUAGGAGGAACACCAGUGGCGAAGGCGACUUUCUGGACAGAAACUGACGUUGAGGCACGAAAGUGU
RNAcentral lists this ribosomal RNA (630 nucleotides) under uncultured bacterium. RNAcentral's name for it is "bacterial SSU rRNA". It matches the Rfam family "Bacterial small subunit ribosomal RNA", at positions 116 to 762 of the family's 1533-position model. The record is from RNAcentral.